Molecule: non-coding RNA, 234 nt
Filed under: Clostridium algidicarnis DSM 15099
Lineage: Bacteria; Bacillati; Bacillota; Clostridia; Eubacteriales; Clostridiaceae
Source: RNAcentral
GAAUCCUGCAUGACAAAGGUUAGCAACCAGUCAUUAGUUAGUCUUGGGCUUGUUAUAGUGAUGUAAUAAGUUAAGUGUAGACAAACGAGAUACCAGGCCAUAAGCAAAUGCUGAAACUAAUAGCCGCGAAAUUUUGAGAAAACCGGAAAGGACGAUAGUCUCGGGGUCCUAGAAGUCAGAAUAUGCGUAGUCGUUAUUGCAAGAAUACAUAUACUUUCCCGCGGUUCUAAGGUA